RNAcentral lists this transfer RNA (64 nucleotides) under uncultured Methanobrevibacter sp. It matches the Rfam family "tRNA", at positions 6 to 65 of the family's 71-position model. From Rfam's summary of the family: Transfer RNA (tRNA) molecules are approximately 80 nucleotides in length. Their secondary structure includes four short double-helical elements and three loops (D, anti-codon, and T loops). Lineage: Archaea; Methanobacteriati; Methanobacteriota; Methanobacteria; Methanobacteriales; Methanobacteriaceae. The record is from RNAcentral.
UUGUAGCUAAGUCUGGCAAGGCGCUUGUCUGAUACACAAGUGAUUGGAGGUUCGAAUCCUCCCA